UGAUACGUCGAGUUCGAAGCUAUCAAUCAGUUAGUUUCGUUUCUGAUGGUAAAAUCUUCAUCAUUUUCCGAAUGGAGAAGGAGACGAUCCUUGCGAAACACGGAUCAGAGGUAGUGAUCGGUGCUACCAUCAACGACAAAGAUGAAGAGAAGCCGAAGAUCUCGAGUUUCUAAGCUGCAUGAUGCAGCCGGCAACAGCCGAGUCAGAUCCACAGUACAUCGGAAUCCGCCGAAUUCUUCUCCACCGGAAAUCAGAAUCCGGCGCCAUCUCUCGUCGUUAUGCGAGCUCUCUUUAACUUCUCACUUCAAAACGUUGAGCUUGCUAUCUGAUUUGAUUGUUGUUUCGUUGAAGGAUUGGAGAUGCAAUGGUAAAUGAUAUGUUGCGUAUCGUAAUUUCAUAAGCAGACCUAGAAAAUGGGAGAAUCUGAGAACGCCAAGCCUCUUAAGUAGUCCAGGGAACAGUGGUCGAUGGUUACCUUCACCAGGUCCACUCUCCCAUCAAUUUGAAGCAGAGAGCUUCAGUUCUAGUAGAGAUUUACGGAGUGCUAAUCAGGUUUCGAGCCGAAGAUUGAGUUUUAGCUCGAGUUUGAGUGAUGGUGAUCAUUCCUUUCGCCGUGGUGGUGGUGGUUUUGAACAUGCUUAUUCUUUUCUGGGAAUGCAUUGCAUCUUCAACCAAUGCAAAUCUUCUGGUAUUUUCUUACAUCUUGUUUUGGAUUUAAUCGACUUGGUUUGUGAUUUUUCUUCGUGGAAUGACUCUUCACUCUUUUGUGUCUCUUAUGUGGUUACUGUU
Brassica oleracea var. oleracea is the source of this 789-nucleotide long non-coding RNA. RefSeq lists it as uncharacterized. The record is from RefSeq and is a predicted model, not a curated record. The transcript has 3 exons. Lineage: Eukaryota; Viridiplantae; Streptophyta; Magnoliopsida; Brassicales; Brassicaceae.